Non-coding RNA from Pelobates cultripes (western spadefoot toad), 223 nucleotides. NCBI's taxonomy places the organism in Eukaryota, Metazoa, Chordata, Amphibia, Anura, Pelobatidae. The record is from the annotation of a GenBank genome assembly.
CACACACUGCUUUUCUUACAUACACACAGAAACACAAUGCAUCACUAACACACACUCAAUGCACACACUUACAGACACACACCUUGUAUCCUUUAUGCAUACAAACACAGAUUCACACAAUGCAUCCCUUACACACAACCAGAAACACACAAUACAUCCCUUAUACACAAAUACACACUGCUUCCACUACACACAAACACACUGCAUCACCUGCACAAACUGG